This 544-nucleotide long non-coding RNA is filed under the name Helianthus annuus (common sunflower). Its description in RNAcentral is "hypothetical non coding rna". The record is from RNAcentral. Lineage: Eukaryota; Viridiplantae; Streptophyta; Magnoliopsida; Asterales; Asteraceae.
UCGGUAGCUUCUCUCUCUAUCUCUAUACAAUUCUAGAGAGAGAAAGUAGACAGAGAGAGAGCUUAAGGACCUAAAUGUAAAAUUACCGUCUUCGUUCUCUCCGCUUGGCAAGAGUAAGCAUCACAUCUUCUCUUCUGCUUCAAAUCUAGUUUUUUUUUAUUUGUGUCUUAAAUUUCUGUUGUAGAUCUGUUUUAAUAAUAGAUCUUGAUGUAAAUUUUUGAAUUUAGUUGUAAAUCUGUUUUUAAACGGUAACUUUUCACCUUGGUCCCCACAUUUUUUUGGCAUCUAGUGCCCGUCGCAAACGUCUAGGGCUUGUCGGAGAGGACGGGGACGUGGAGGGGGCGGGAUGGUGUACAUAUCGGCGACGGUCCUCUACGGUAUGGGGACGCCCCCCAUACCGCAUAGCCAUAUAGAUAAAUUAUCUAAAUCACUCCAUGGUUUUAUAUAAAUUAAUUAGAAUUUUUGUUUUUCACAUUCCACUUAAACAAUGAAAAUGUUAAAUAAUCAUUUUACUAUGUAUUUAGUCAUUUGGUUAACGAGUUAA